This 708-nucleotide long non-coding RNA is filed under the name Salmo trutta (river trout). Its description in RNAcentral is "lncRNA (ENSSTUG00000035531.1)". Lineage: Eukaryota; Metazoa; Chordata; Actinopteri; Salmoniformes; Salmonidae. The record is from RNAcentral.
GAGAGCGAGUCAGAGGUGAGACCAGAGCUACAACAUGUGUUGUUCCUGCUCUGUUAGAGGCUGGCUGCUUUUCUUCACAAUCCUACAACUGGUAACGCAACACUUUAAUAUGUUAUUGUAUUUAUUUUAAUCAAUCUAUAACGGAUACUUUUUAUAUAUAUAUAUAUAAAAGUGGUGUCCAAUAUUAUGAAUAUAUUUAUUUUAUAAUAGUUUUUCUCCCUAAAUGUAUUUUUCUUCAGAUUGGUGGCAUGACUUUCAUUGUCACCCCUUGGAAGUAUUACAGGAGUAGUGAAAAUGACCUAGAUGAACGUCUGUCUCCAGUCUGAUGGACUAUCUUCACAGCAGGUGUGGUCUCCAUUAUCCUUGGCAUCACGGGUCUGCAUGGAGCUCGUAAGAAGAACAAGAACUUCCUGAUAAUGGUACGUUCAGUUCUUAAAGGAGCAAUCUGGGAUUCAAACAUUGCCAUCAUCCUGCUGCUAUUUUGUAAACCGCUGAGGGAUGGGGCUUGAAAAAUGUAACCACACCCAAACCCUAAGAUGGUUGAACUAAGCUCCUGAGGCCUUUAUAAAUUAUAUUCUUCAAUAAUAAAUAGCUACAUAUUGUUAAUUUAAAAGUCCAAUAACCGAUGGAUCAAUCCCAGAUUUCCCCUUUAUUAAAGCCAAAAUCUCAUUAGUAAUGUCAACAAAUGAAAUACUUUAUUAUUUGACC